CCUANGGGAGGCUGCAGUUAGGAAUCGUACACAAUGGGCGAAAGCCUGAUGUCGUGACGCCGCGUGGAGGAUGAAGGUUCUCGGAUUGUAAACUCCUUUUCUGCAGGAAGAUUAUGACUGUACUGCAGGAAUAAGCAUCGGCUAACUACGUGCCAGAAGCCUCGGUAAUACGUAGGAUGCGAGCGUUAUCCGGAAUUAUUGGGCGUAAAGAGCGCGUAGGCGGACAUGUCAGUCCAAUCUUAAAUCCCAUGGCCCAACCAUGGUGUCGGAUUGGAUACUACAUGCCUUGAGUAUUUGCAGGGGCAAGCGGAAUCUGCGGUGUAGGAGUAAAAUCCAUUGAUAUCGCAGAGAACACCAAUGGCGAAGGCAGCUUGCUAGGCAUUCACUGACGCUGAGGCGCGAAAGCGUGGGUAGCGAACGGGAUUAGAUACCCUGNUANUC
Molecule: ribosomal RNA, 441 nt
Filed under: uncultured bacterium
Lineage: Bacteria
Description: bacterial SSU rRNA
Rfam family: Bacterial small subunit ribosomal RNA
Source: RNAcentral